This is a long non-coding RNA of Solanum tuberosum (potato), 343 nucleotides long. RefSeq lists it as uncharacterized. Lineage: Eukaryota; Viridiplantae; Streptophyta; Magnoliopsida; Solanales; Solanaceae. The record is from RefSeq and is a predicted model, not a curated record. The transcript has 2 exons.
UCUCUCGUCUCUCGUCUCUCGUCUCUCGUCUCUCGUCUCUCGUCUCUCGUCCGUCAUCUCUAAAGUCUUAGGCCAGCCGCUACUCCUUGGCUCCUCGCUGAGUGCUCGCAGGUCGCAGCCCGCCACUGCUCAGUGCUCGCGACUCGAAGGUUAAUGCUUCUAUAUAGAGAAUAUCAACUAGCAACACAGCCACAACCACAACCCACAGGUCACUGUUAAUUGGUAAGUUGCAAGUUAAAUGUUGUUGAAAUUUGAAGGCAAAAGACAAACUGUAUGGCAUAGAUUGUUGGAGUUUGGAGAGUUGUUGAGUGUUGAUUGUUAUAGAAGUUUGUUGAUUGUUGUA